UACGGGGGGGGUAAGCGUUGUUCGGAAUUACUGGGCGUAAAGGGCUCGUAGGCGGCCAACUAAGUCAUACGUGAAAUCCCUCAGCUUAACUGGGGAACUGCGUGUGAUACUGGAUGGCUUGGAUUUGGGAGAGGGAUGCGGAAUUCCAGGUGUAGCGGUGAAAUGCGUAGAUAUCUGGAGGAACACCGGUGGCGAAGGCGGCAUCCUGGACCAAUAUUGACGCUGAGGCGCGAAAGCGUGGGUAGCAAACAGG
Molecule: ribosomal RNA, 253 nt
Filed under: uncultured bacterium
Lineage: Bacteria
Description: partial 16S ribosomal RNA
Rfam family: Bacterial small subunit ribosomal RNA
Source: RNAcentral